UACGGAGGGUGCUAGCGUUGUUCGGAAUCAUUGGGCGUAAAGGGCGCGCAGGCGGCUCGGAAAGUCGGGUGUGAAAACUCGGGGCUCAACCCCGGGCGUGCAUCCGAUACUGCCGGGCUUGAGGCAGGUAGGGGAGAUCGGAAUUCCUGGUGUAGCGGUGAAAUGCGCAGAUAUCAGGAGGAACACCGGUGGCGAAGGCGGAUCUCUGGGCCUGUCCUGACGCUGAGGCGCGAAAGCUAGGGGAGCGAACAGG
Molecule: ribosomal RNA, 253 nt
Filed under: uncultured bacterium
Lineage: Bacteria
Description: partial 16S ribosomal RNA
Rfam family: Bacterial small subunit ribosomal RNA
Source: RNAcentral